UCUCAGGCACUGAGCAAAGUAGCCAUCCAUUAGCAGCCUCUUGGGAGGCAGGGCUCACAGCAGGGCUGAGUGAAGGUGGUGAGGUUGAGGGUCUCCAGGCCCGGAGUUGGCUGGCAGGAGUUGAGCAGGAAGCAGGUGGGCACGCAGGGCUGAGGAAUGUGGCAGGGUGGGGGACAGUUGUCACAGCAGAUGGGCUCCAGUAACCAAACUGUGUGUGGGCAGGAUUUGUCGGAGGAGCAGAUGG
This 244-nucleotide long non-coding RNA is filed under the name Homo sapiens (human). RNAcentral's name for it is "HSALNT0389767". The record is from RNAcentral. Lineage: Eukaryota; Metazoa; Chordata; Mammalia; Primates; Hominidae.